Populus nigra (black poplar) is the source of this 251-nucleotide long non-coding RNA. RefSeq lists it as uncharacterized. Lineage: Eukaryota; Viridiplantae; Streptophyta; Magnoliopsida; Malpighiales; Salicaceae. The record is from RefSeq and is a predicted model, not a curated record. The transcript has 3 exons.
GUUGAGAAGAGACAGAGAAUAUGGUUGAAGUAAUAAGAAGAUUUGCAGAGAAGAAUAAUGAAGAGAGGAAUAGAGAAGAGAAACAAUGGGGUCCUCUAUAGAGAUGAGCAUUGCAAGAUUAUGUCCUCCCUCUUCUUCUCCUUCAGAUAGUGCUUCAUCAGUCACAUAAUCUGUUAACCAGGUAUGUGAGCAUAAGCCACACAUCCAAACACACGGAAACACUCAACACUAGGCUUCAUGUUACUCCAAGC